This 1138-nucleotide long non-coding RNA is filed under the name Camarhynchus parvulus. RNAcentral's name for it is "lncRNA (ENSCPVG00000018603.1)". Lineage: Eukaryota; Metazoa; Chordata; Aves; Passeriformes; Thraupidae. The record is from RNAcentral.
CCGUCUGUCUCUCCUCCCCUCCCAUCGACUCUUCCCCAUUUCUGUCCAUCUGUCCAUCUGUCCAUCUGUCCAUCAUUGCCAUCUGUUCACCCAUCCAUGCCCGUACCCCCGUCCAUCCAUCUGUCCCUCUGUCCCUCUGUCCCUCUGUCGAGUUCAUUGCCGUCCCUCUGUCUGUCCUCCUGCCCAUCCUGAUGUCUGUCUGUCCAUCCACCUCUCCGUCCGUCAGUCCCUCCUGCCGUGUGUCCGUCCCUUCUGUCUGCCCUCUCUGUCUGUGUGUCCAUCUGUCCAUCCCUCGAUCCCUCCGUGUCCCCCUUGUCCCCCUGCCCAUGCCCAUGUCCCUCUGUCCAUCCCAUGUCCGUCUGUCCAUCCCAUGUCCAUCCUCCUGUCCAUCCCGUGUCCAUCUCAUGUCUGUGUGUCCAUCUCAUGUCCAUGCGUCCAUCUGUCCGUGUGUCCAUCCCAUGUCCAUCCGCUUGUCCACCCCAUGUCCCUCUGUCCAUCCCUGUGUCCAUCCUGUGUCCAUGUGUCCAUCUGUCCAUGCGUCCAUCCCUUGUCCAUCUGUCCGUGUGUCCAUCCCAUGUCCGUGUGUCCAUCCCAUGUCCAUGUGUCCGUCCCUGUGUCCAUCCCAUGUCCAUGCGUCUGUCCCGUGUCCAUCUGUCCGUGUGUCCAUCUGUCCGUGUGUCCGUCCCGUGUCCAUGUGUCCAUCCCAUGUCCGUGUGUCCGUCUGUCCAUGUGUCCAUCCUGUGUCCGUGUGUCCAUCCCUUGUCCAUCUGUCCGUGUGUCCAUCCUGUGUCCGUGUGUCUGUCCCGUGUCCGUUUGUCCGUCCCUGUGUCCGUGUGUCCAUCCCAUGUCCGUCUGUCCAUGUGUCCACCCAGUGUCCGUGUGUCCAUCUGUCCGUGUGUCCAUCUGUCCGUGUGUCCGUCCCGUGUCCGUGUGUCCAUCUGUCCGUGUGUCCGUCCCGGUGCCCCGCGGGCGCCGCCGCCCCUCCCCCCGCAGGGUUUGGGGGUCCCGGGGGGUUUCGGGUCCCCCGGGCUGGGGGGGCCGGAGCCGUUUAAUCUCUUUUCUCUUUGUCUCCUCUCUCGCCCCCUCCCCCCCCCGCCCGUGUGACCCCGCCCUCCCCCCUCCCCCUCCUGCCCCCCCC